RNAcentral lists this ribosomal RNA (347 nucleotides) under uncultured bacterium. RNAcentral's name for it is "bacterial SSU rRNA". It matches the Rfam family "Bacterial small subunit ribosomal RNA", at positions 917 to 1267 of the family's 1533-position model. The record is from RNAcentral.
GGGCCCGCACAAGCGGUGGAGCAUGUGGUUUAAUUCGAUGAUACGCGAGGAACCUUACCAGGGCUUAAAUGUAAGUUGCAUAAGUUAGAGAUAGCUUUUUCUUCGGACUACUUACAAGGUGCUGCAUGGUUGUCGUCAGCUCGUGCCGUGAGGUGUCAGGUUAAGUCCUAUAACGAGCGCAACCCCUGUUGUUAGUUGCCAUCGAGUAAUGUCGGGAACUCUAACAAGACUGCCGGUGCAAACCGUGAGGAAGGUGGGGAUGACGUCAAAUCAUCACGGCCCUUACGUCCUGGCUACACACGUGCUACAAUGGCGCAUACAGAGGGCAGCAAGCUAGCGAUAGUGAG